UUGACCUCGGAUCAGGUAGGGAUACCCGCUGAACUUAAGCAUAUCAAUAAGCGGAGGAAAAGAAACCAACAGGGAUUGCCCUAGUAACGGCGAGUGAAGCGGCAACAGCUCAAAUUUGAAAUCUGGCUCUUUCAGAGUCCGAGUUGUAAUUUGCAGAGGGCGCUUUGGCUUUGGCAGCGGUCCAAGUUCCUUGGAACAGGACGUCACAGAGGGUGAGAAUCCCGUACGUGGUCGCUAGCUAUUGCCGUGUAAAGCCCCUUCGACGAGUCGAGUUGUUUGGGAAUGCAGCUCUAAAUGGGAGGUAAAUUUCUUCUAAAGCUAAAUAUUGGCCAGAGACCGAUAGCGCACAAGUAGAGUGAUCGAAAGAUGAAAAGCACUUUGGAAAGAGAGUCAAACAGCACGUGAAAUUGUUGAAAGGGAAGCGCUUGCAGCCAGACUUGCUUGCAGUUGCUCAUCCGGGCUUUUGCCCGGUGCACUCUUCUGUAGGCAGGCCAGCAUCAGUUUGGGCGGUGGGAUAAAGGUCUCUGUCACGUACCUCUCUUCGGGGAGGCCUUAUAGGGGAGACGACAUACCACCAGCCUAG
RNAcentral lists this ribosomal RNA (583 nucleotides) under Bipolaris zeicola. RNAcentral describes it as "eukaryotic LSU rRNA". It matches the Rfam family "Eukaryotic large subunit ribosomal RNA", at positions 1 to 587 of the family's 3401-position model. The record is from RNAcentral. Lineage: Eukaryota; Fungi; Ascomycota; Dothideomycetes; Pleosporales; Pleosporaceae.